RNAcentral lists this long non-coding RNA (522 nucleotides) under Dromaius novaehollandiae (emu). Its description in RNAcentral is "lncRNA (ENSDNVG00000014992.1)". Lineage: Eukaryota; Metazoa; Chordata; Aves; Casuariiformes; Dromaiidae. The record is from RNAcentral.
GGGAGAGCGGCUUUAAAAAUAAUUUGUUGUAAAGAAAAGUGUGGGGGAAAAAACCCUCGCCCUGUGAGCAGAUAGACUAACCUCGCUCCCCUUCUUCUUUCCAUCGACUCCGGCUCCGCUCGCAGCAAUCAUAUCUGGARCGAAAGGUCUGGCUUGCAGCUUCGUCUGGCCUGGGCAGGGCCAGGAAAUAAUUCCCAAGGCCCCUGCGAAGUUUGCGCUGCCGGCACGAAGCACCACUCCUGAGCYGGGCUGCGUGCAGCGGUGUCAAGCCAGGGCACGCAGAGCCCCUGCUUURGGUGAGGGCUGCUCUAGCAAAGCGCUGUUCCAAGAGAAAAAGGUUAUUUUUCAGCUUCUCCGCCUUCAAAGCGACCGGAUGAAUCCUCUGUCCCCCCCCCAAGGAGCCCGUUAUAUAAUCAAAAGGAAGUAAAUUUUUCAGAUUGGAGAGCAGCCGGGCCGGUAGAGGAGCUUGGGGGCGCGUCGGCGGGCCUGGGGAGGGCCGGAGGCGUGGGGCAGUGGUGCAGC